UUCCUUUGCGUAUAGACGAAAAGGUUAGUGGUCGUUAUGGUCCAGUUCUCCCUCAGGAACUCGUCCUGGAAAUCCUGUCAUGGCUUCCAGUGAUCGUUCUGAUGCGAAGUCUUGGAAUUCGUUAUUCUUGGAUCCUUCUUUUGUGAAGCUGUUCUUGAGUCGCAUCAGAACCAUGUUCCAUACACUGCUGCUCCAUAGUUGAUUAUUGUGGCUCCCCAUUCAAGUUGAAUGGAUUGGUCUGUUUGAGACCUAUUUCUCAUUAACAGGGAGACUGCGUCCUAUUAUGUAAUUUAUUCAUUUGAUUUGAGGAUUGAAACACACAGAUGUUUGUUACUGCCUGCUUGGUCGAUCUAGGGGCUGCUUAUGCCUCUGUCUUUCUCAUUAUCACCACGGAAAUCAUUAUUUCUCUGUUUGGCAAAUGAAGGAGUCUUGCUGAAUGUUAAUUGUGAUCAUGUUCAAAUCUUUAAUUCUCAACGUUCAUAUCACUUCCCAUUGUGCAUGUCUGAAAACAGCCAUGUUUUGUUGCUGUCAACCAAUGAAGAUUUUUAAACUUAUUACGUAUAACCGGAGAGAUGACUCUUGACAGAGUAGAGAAUAUUGUUGAGUGUUGACAUUAGCUCUAAAAAAAGUUUGGUUGCAAUCUACUGAUUAUGUUGAAAGCAUGGUUUUCCCUUAUUGUAACUGAGCUCCUCCGCAAUGAUUGGCUUAUCUGAAUUUAUGUGACUGUCAAUUGGCAAUCUAGGUACACGUGUAUGGAUUUGCAAAACAUUGCAGUGAUGUUGAAACUUCAAAGAAUGUCAAGGGAAAUUCUACAGAAGUCUAUAGACACAGGGGUUCUAUGGAAAAUAGAUUUAAGGCUCAGUCAACCAGAAAAUUUCAAGACAUUAUAUGUUGUGUUUUUUGUGGACUAUUUCAAAAGUUUCAAAUCCUGCAUUGAGUAGUUUAGCUUUUCUCAAAGGGUAUAUAUAUCUGCAUGAGAUAAGAUGGGUUAAACUAGAUAGCGAGACAAAGGUGUUGUGCACAUGAGAUUGGGCCAAAUGGUUUGAUGUAGUACAAAUUGUCUGCACAUGCAAAAGAGGGAAUGUUGGAAUAUUUUACGAAAUGUUUUAAUUUUUUGUGGUUUUCGCUUUUACUCUCUCUAGCCGCACUAUGUGAAAAAAUCCUUAAGAACAGUGUGUCUAACACACACGUCUCAGAGUCUGUCAUUGGUUUGCUCUUGCCUCGACGAUUCCGCCCUGAUCAGCAACCAUGACCAAUAUUUUGAUGGAACCUUUA
Glycine soja is the source of this 1275-nucleotide long non-coding RNA. RefSeq lists it as uncharacterized. The transcript is spliced from 2 exons. The record is from RefSeq and is a predicted model, not a curated record. Lineage: Eukaryota; Viridiplantae; Streptophyta; Magnoliopsida; Fabales; Fabaceae.